GGACUACAGGGGUUUCUAAUCCUGUUUGCUCCCCACGCUUUCGCAUCUCAGCGUCAGUGAUGGACCAGUUGGCCGCCUUCGCCACUGGUGUUCUUGCGAAUAUCUACGAAUUUCACCUCUACACUCGCAGUUCCACCAACCUCUUCCAUACUCGAGCCAGACAGUAUCGAAGGCAGUUCCAGGGUUGAGCCCUGGGAUUUCACCCCCGACUUGAAUGGCCGCCUACAUGCGCUUUACGCCCAGUAAUUCCGAACAACGCUAGCCCCCUUCGUAUUACCGCGGCUGCUGGCAC
This 292-nucleotide ribosomal RNA is filed under the name uncultured bacterium. RNAcentral describes it as "partial 16S ribosomal RNA". The record is from RNAcentral.